AGAGGAAGAAAGAGGAGGUGGGGGAGAGGUGUGAGAGGGGGUCAAAGACAGAAAGGGAAAGAUGAGAACAGAGGAGCAGGGAAGAAAGAGGAGGUGGGGGAGAGGUGUGAGAGGGGGUCAAAGACAGAAAGGGAAAGAUGAGAACAGAGGAGCAGGGAAGAAGUAGGAGGUGGGGGAGAGGUGUGAGAGGGGGUCAAAGACAGAAAGGGAAAGAGCAGAACAGAGCAGAACAGAGGAGCAGGGAAGAAAGCUUAUGAUUCAUGAAUCACAGUGCAACUAAACUACGUAUUCUCUCAGGUCAUCACAGUUACAUAAUAGUAUCUCUACCGGUGUCUCCUAACCAGCCUUGGGCCCCCAGUUGGGUUGUCUUUGAGCGGAUGAGGUGACG
Molecule: long non-coding RNA, 388 nt
Organism: Oncorhynchus tshawytscha (Chinook salmon)
Lineage: Eukaryota; Metazoa; Chordata; Actinopteri; Salmoniformes; Salmonidae
Source: Ensembl